Molecule: long non-coding RNA, 1012 nt
Organism: Salvelinus sp. IW2-2015
Lineage: Eukaryota; Metazoa; Chordata; Actinopteri; Salmoniformes; Salmonidae
Source: RefSeq, a predicted model, not a curated record
UGUGAGUUUGUUCUCAAAGUAGACUCCGGUAAAUAAUUUCCUCCAUUCCAAAAAUACUGAAUCUUAGGAGUCCCCACCACACUCUCUCUUUAUUUCUCCCUUUAUUUCUCUCGGUCUCCAAUCAGCAUGGUGUGUGUAGAAGCCAUCAGAUGAGCACAAUAGACAGAAUCCACAGAACCAGGAUUCUUCUACCUUUGAUGAUAUGCCUGUACUGGAAGAAGUAACUAGUGAACCCACUUCUGACCUAACUCUAGAUGGCGCCACCAGUCCCUGGCAGGACCAGGGUUCUAGCUGUGGUGAGAUGCCAGUACUGGAGGAAGAGGCGAAAUGCUACUACCACUACUGACCUAUCUCAAGGUGGCGCCACCAGUAAAGAAAAUAAAAGGCCCAUGGAGUUGGUGGAAUCGCCUUUUAAUUCAUGGGCCCUUGCUCAGCUGGUCCAGAGCGCUUUAAUUAGGUCAGGUGGAAAUGUCUGACACAUCUCAACUCAUUAAAGGAAGAAAUAUCCACCGCCUGACAUUGCUGCUUUCUCUUCCCCAACUCCGUCUAAUCCAGACAUUCUGUGCGUCCACGAAUCAACGUAAAUUCACAGAAUCUGUUAUCUUUCAUCUGUUAUCUUUCAUCUGAACUAUCUGUUGCGAUUGGGAGAGCAUCAGUUAGUGUUUAUAGUUAUUACCGCGGAGCGCACGCUUCAAACCUAUUGUGUUAUGUAAAUAGUAAAUGAUCACGGACCAACAGAUCAUCACGGGAUAAUUACGCCAUUGAUAAAUGGUUAAAAUGUAACAAAAUGACAUGUACAUAUGAAGACAAACCUGGAAGGAUUAAAUAUGAAACAUAAUUAUUGAAAAAUCCUGAUAUCAAACUAAUUGAGAUUAUAGAUUGAGAUCCUAAAUGACUCAAUCAUGCUUCAUAUUGAAUUCCUAUUGAACUGAAUUGCUGAAUUACCUCAUUACGUUAAUGAUGAGAAUGAUUGUUAUGAUUUGACUUUCUGAUUUGAAUUUGAUUGGAUACA